GUUGCUUCUUACUGGUGAACGCUCUCUGAUAAAACGGUGAGGGAUGUUCAUGUUUCCGAAGCAUAGAUUAAAUAAAUUUAUGCCAGUUUUAAACAGCGCUGUGCUUUUUAUCUUACUAGCACUGUGCUACCUGUCUCCUGGUAUAUUC
This 148-nucleotide small nucleolar RNA is filed under the name Corchorus capsularis. Its description in RNAcentral is "snoRNA snoR137". It matches the Rfam family "small nucleolar RNA snoR137". The record is from Rfam by way of RNAcentral. Lineage: Eukaryota; Viridiplantae; Streptophyta; Magnoliopsida; Malvales; Malvaceae.